AAGCGGAAAGACGUUCCGCUUUACCGGAAGCUGCAAUCGCAUCUAAACAUCCGGUCGAGAACUUGCGGACGUAAACAUGGCACCGAAAGUGUCGGCUGCUAUGCUCAACGACGCCGUCAAAUGCCACCCCGUGCUUUAUGACAAGACUCAUCAUUCGUACAAAGACACGUACCACAAGAAUGAGAUUUGGGCGAAGAUAGCCGCAGAGCUGGGAGUGAGCAAAUGAUCGUAGCUGAAGGCCCAGCAGCCGCCAGUCACGACAUUGAAGAUGUACCAGCAACAGGACAUGCAGACGACUUCGAAGAGAUGGUGGUGCCACAAAGUUUAGAAAGUGCACCGCAUACAGACACACAACCUGCAAGCAAGACAACGGAAUGGCAGCCUGACGAUGCAGAAAGUGAUAUUAAGCCAGAAGUGGUGCUUUAGACAACUGAAACGGUACCAAGACCAAGAAAAGUGGCAAAGACAUCCAAAAAUCCCCACCGCCCCGAUGGCAGCGAUCCCUCCAAUGCGGCAGUUGCUGCCGCAUGCCUUGACCACCUGAAGGCAGUUGGAAAAGAGCGCCGACAAAAAGAGGAGACCCAGGACACUGUCUACCAUUUCUGCAUGGCGGCUGCUGGAUUUUUACGGUCACUGCCCCCUGAUGACCGAUUUGACUGUAUGUGUUCCAUCCAAGCCACCAUUCAAGAAAAAGUAAUAGAAGUGAGGGCUCGGAGGAGCGAAAAAUAGUCCUGAAAACAUAGCUGCAUGGUAUAAUGUACAUACACUGUUUUUUUUCUCUGAUAAUUAUCUGUGAUAUUUAAGUGCCAUUGCGUGUUUGUCAUCCACUUCUUACACAGUUGACUCCCAUGUCGCUACUCAUGCCAGCGCUCCCAUACUGCCCCUUCCUCUGCGAAGGCGCUGAGUGGUCUGUGACUGUACAUAAAAACAUGUCUUUCUCAAAUCCUUUGCCUCAACAUAAUGUGAAAUGAAAAUACAUAUA
This is a long non-coding RNA of Dermacentor albipictus, 982 nucleotides long. RefSeq lists it as uncharacterized. NCBI's taxonomy places the organism in Eukaryota, Metazoa, Arthropoda, Arachnida, Ixodida, Ixodidae. The record is from RefSeq and is a predicted model, not a curated record.